This 609-nucleotide ribosomal RNA is filed under the name uncultured Ralstonia sp. Its description in RNAcentral is "bacterial SSU rRNA". It matches the Rfam family "Bacterial small subunit ribosomal RNA", at positions 337 to 917 of the family's 1533-position model. Lineage: Bacteria; Pseudomonadati; Pseudomonadota; Betaproteobacteria; Burkholderiales; Burkholderiaceae. The record is from RNAcentral.
UCCUACGGGUGGCAGCAGUGGGGAAUUUUGGACAAUGGGCGAAAGCCUGAUCCAGCAAUGCCGCGUGUGUGAAGAAGGCCUUCGGGUUUGUAAAGCACUUUUGUCCGGAAAGAAAUGGCUCUUGGUUAAUACCGGGGGUCGAUGACGGUACCGGAAGAAUAAGGACCGGCUAANUACGUGCCAGCAGCCGCGGUAAUACGUAGGGUCCAAGCGUUAAUGGGAAGUUACUGGGCGUAAAGCGUGCGCAGGCGGUUGUGCAAGACCGAUGUGAAAUCCCCGAGCUUAACUUGGGAAUUGCAUUGGUGACUGCACGGCUNGAGUGUGUCAGAGGGGGGUAGAAUUCCACGUGUAGCAGUGAAAUGCGUAGAGAUGUGGAGGAAUACCGAUGGCGAAGGCAGACCCCCUGGGAUAACACUGAACGCUCAUGCACGAAAAGCGUGGGGUAGCAAACAGGNAUUAGAUACCCNUGGUAGUCCACGCCCUAAACGGAUGUCAACUAGGUUGUUGGGGUAUUCAUUUCCUUAGAGUAACGUAGGCUGACGGCGUGGAAGUUGGACCGGCCUGGGGAGUACGGUUCGCAAGAUUAAGAGCUCAGAUGAUUUUGACGGG